This 489-nucleotide ribosomal RNA is filed under the name uncultured bacterium. Its description in RNAcentral is "partial 16S ribosomal RNA". It matches the Rfam family "Bacterial small subunit ribosomal RNA", at positions 28 to 507 of the family's 1533-position model. The record is from RNAcentral.
GAUGAACGCUAGCUACAGGCUUAACACAUGCAAGUCGAGGGGCAGCAUGAUUGAAGCUUGCUUCAAUCGAUGGCGACCGGCGCACGGGUGAGUAACACGUAUCCAACCUGCCGAUAACUCGGGGAUAGCCUUUCGAAAGAAAGAUUAAUACCCGAUAGUAUAGUAUUUCCGCAUGGUUUCACUAUUAAAGAACUUCGGUUAUCGAUGGGGAUGCGUUCCAUUAGAUAGUUGGCGGGGUAACGGCCCACCAAGUCAACGAUGGAUAGGGGUUCUGAGAGGAAGGUCCCCCACAUUGGAACUGCGACACGGUCCAAACUCCUACGGGAGGCAGCAGUGAGGAAUAUUGGUCAAUGGACGAGAGUCUGAACCAGCCAAGUAGCGUGAAGGAUGACUGCCCUAUGGGUUGUAAACUUCUUUUAUACGGGAAUAAAGUGGAGUAUGCAUACUCCUUUGUAUGUACCGUAUGAAUAAGGAUCGGCUAACUCCGUG